RNAcentral lists this transfer RNA (85 nucleotides) under Felis catus (domestic cat). It matches the Rfam family "tRNA". From Rfam's summary of the family: Transfer RNA (tRNA) molecules are approximately 80 nucleotides in length. Their secondary structure includes four short double-helical elements and three loops (D, anti-codon, and T loops). Lineage: Eukaryota; Metazoa; Chordata; Mammalia; Carnivora; Felidae. The record is from Rfam by way of RNAcentral.
GCCUGGGUGGCUCAGUCGGUUGGGCGUCUGACUUUGGCUCAGGUCAUGAUCUCGCGGUCCGUGGGUUCAAGCCCCACGUUGGGCU